AGGGUUUGAUCAUGGCUCAGGAUGAACGCUAGCGGCAGGCUUAACACAUGCAAGUCGAGGGGUAGAAGCAGCUUGCUGCUUUGAGACCGGCGCACGGGUGCGUAACGCGUAUACAAUCUACCUUUUACAGAGGGAUAGCCCAGAGAAAUUUGGAUUAAUACCUCAUAGUAUUUUCGAAUCGCAUGGUUUGAUUAUUAAAGUUCCAACGGUAAAAGAUGAGUAUGCGUCCCAUUAGCUAGAUGGUAAGGUAACGGCUUACCAUGGCAACGAUGGGUAGGGGUCCUGAGAGGGAGAUCCCCCACACUGGUACUGAGACACGGACCAGACUCCUACGGGAGGCAGCAGUGAGGAAUAUUGGGCAAUGGAGGCAACUCUGACCCAGCUAUGCCGCGUGAAGGAUGAAGGUCCUCUGGAUUGUAAACUUCUUUUGUAUGGGGAUAAACUUUUCUACGUGUAGAAAACUGAAGGUACCAUACGAAUAAGGAUCGGCUAACUCCGUGCCAGCAGCCGCGGUAAUACGGAGGGUCCAAGCGUUAUCCGGAUUUCUUGGGUUUAAAGGGUCC
Molecule: ribosomal RNA, 563 nt
Filed under: uncultured Flavobacteriia bacterium
Lineage: Bacteria; Pseudomonadati; Bacteroidota; Flavobacteriia
Description: bacterial SSU rRNA
Rfam family: Bacterial small subunit ribosomal RNA
Source: RNAcentral